CCGCUGCUUCUUUUAGUCGAAAAGCCAAAGCCAGCAACCCCAUGCUUUUAAAAGCCAGCGCUGGCUUUUUCACUGUAGCGGGAGUACUGUAGUUUAAUGAACAUUUCAAAAUACCGGGUUGUGCCCUCUCUUCCUUUCAGCAAUUACACCACACUGCCAUCAAACCCUUAUCUUCCAUAUUGAAAAAUGAAUCCUCCAGCGCCGCGCAGUGAACUGCUCUUGCAUCUUGCUGACUGCCUCCUCUCAUUCGUGUUCGAAGCCUCAAUCCAAUUCCCAGAUUUUCGUACCAGGCUCUGAAAAUCGAAAGCUCUGCAGUUUGCAGCUGGGAGGGAUCUGAAACCUGGACAGCUUGGGAGGGAUCUUCUACUUCCAUUUCUACUUCUUCCGGUAGUUCUAGUUCUUAGGUUCUACACUUCUACUGUACCUGAUGGCAAAAGAAUCAGCCGUUUGGAAUGAGGGUUUAGUAGAUCUUUUUUGUGAACUAGCUAUGAAGGAGGUGGAUAAUGAUAAUCGUCCACACACUCAUUUUAAUCCGGAGGGAUGGGCGAAUAUAAUCAGUAAUUUUUCAAAUGAAACAGGAAAAGAAUAUACCAAAAAACAACUGAAAAAUAAAUGGGAUUCCCUUAAAGACCAUUGGAAAUUAUGGAAAGAAUUGAAGGGGAAAGAGACCGGUCUUGGGUGGGAUCACAAGAAACAGACUAUUGAUGCAUCCGAGGAGUGGUGGUGUGGCAAAAUUGAGAAAAACAAGGAUUAUGCAAAGUUCAAGAAAAAGGGGAUCACACCCGAUUUUGAAAUGAAGUUGGAUAAGAUGUUCAUGGGUAUUGCAGCCACCGGAAAGCAUGCAUAUGCACCAUCUUCUACACUACCCAUUCCUACACUACCCAUCUUCUACACUACCCAUUUCUAGAUAUUUUGGAAAGGCUCUAGAUCUUUUGUGUGAACUAGCUAAAGAUAUUGUCAAGCCGCCGGAUCCCCAAUUUAAUGGGGUUGCACCAGAGAUAAUGAGGGAUAAGAGAUACAUGCCGCAUUUUAAGGAUUGUAUUGGGGCUAUCGAUGGAGUGCAUAUUCCCGCUUCAAUAGCUCCUCAAGAUCAAAUACCGUACAUUGGUAGAAAAGGAAUACCAACUCAAAACAUUAUGGCAGCAUGUAAUUUUGAUAUGCAAUUUACCUUUGUAUGUGCGGGUUGGGAAGGGUCUGCUCAUGAUACAAAAGUGUUUCUAUCGGUUCUUCGAAAUCCCGAUUGGAAUUUUCCUAAACCACCACCGGGAAAAUAUUAUGUGGUAGAUUCGGGAUACCCUCAAAUGAGUGGGUUUUUGGGACCUUACAAAGGUUCAAGACAACAUUUUCAAGAAUAUCGUAGGCAAGAACCAAGAAAUGAAAAAGAAGUAUUUAACCAAGCACACUCUUCUCUUAGAAGCGUUAUAGAACGCACAUUUGGAGUUUGGAAAAAAAAGU
Rosa chinensis is the source of this 1455-nucleotide long non-coding RNA. RefSeq lists it as uncharacterized. NCBI's taxonomy places the organism in Eukaryota, Viridiplantae, Streptophyta, Magnoliopsida, Rosales, Rosaceae. The transcript has 6 exons. The record is from RefSeq and is a predicted model, not a curated record.